This 76-nucleotide transfer RNA is filed under the name Candidatus Nitrosocosmicus oleophilus. RNAcentral's name for it is "tRNA-Ala". It matches the Rfam family "tRNA". Rfam says of the family: Transfer RNA (tRNA) molecules are approximately 80 nucleotides in length. Their secondary structure includes four short double-helical elements and three loops (D, anti-codon, and T loops). Lineage: Archaea; Thermoproteati; Nitrososphaerota; Nitrososphaeria; Nitrososphaerales; Nitrososphaeraceae. The record is from RNAcentral.
GGGCUGGUGGUUCAGCUUGGUACGAACGUUCGAUUCGCAAUCGAGAGAUCGCGGGUUCAAAUCCCGCCCAGUCCAC